Molecule: ribosomal RNA, 274 nt
Filed under: uncultured bacterium
Lineage: Bacteria
Description: partial 16S ribosomal RNA
Rfam family: Bacterial small subunit ribosomal RNA
Source: RNAcentral
AUACGGAGGGUGCAAGCGUUAUUCGGAAUCACUGGGCGUAAAGGACGCGUAGGCGGGUUGGCAAGUCAGAUGUGAAAUCCUACAGCUUAACUGUAGAACUGCAUUUGAAACUGCUAACCUAGAGUAUGGGAGGGGGAGAUGGAAUUAGUGGUGUAGGGGUAAAAUCCGUAGAUAUCACUAGGAAUACCUAAAGCGAAGGCGAUCUCCUGGAACAUUACUGACGCUAAGGCGUGAAAGCGUGGGGAGCAAACGGGAUUAGAAACCCUAGUAGUCC